GACGAACGCUGGCGGCGUGCCUAAUACAUGCAAGUAGAACGCUGAAGGAGGAGCUUGCUUCUCCGGAUGAGUUGCGAACGGGUGAGUAACGCGUAGGUAACCUGCCUGGUAGCGGGGGAUAACUAUUGGAAACGAUAGCUAAUACCGCAUAACAGUAGAUGUUGCAUGACAUUUGCUUAAAAGGUGCAAUUGCAUCACUACCAGAUGGACCUGCGUUGUAUUAGCUAGUUGGUGAGGUAACGGCUCACCAAGGCGACGAUACAUAGCCGACCUGAGAGGGUGAUCGGCCACACUGGGACUGAGACACGGCCCAGACUCCUACGGGAGGCAGCAGUAGGGAAUCUUCGGCAACGGACGGAAGUCUGACCGAGCAACGCCGCGUGAGUGAAGAAGGGUUUCGGAUCGUAAAGCUCUGUUGUAAGAGAAGAACGAGUGUGAGAGUGGAAAGUUCACACUGUGACGGUAUCUGACCAGAAAGGGACGGCUAACUACGUG
RNAcentral lists this ribosomal RNA (495 nucleotides) under uncultured bacterium. RNAcentral's name for it is "partial 16S ribosomal RNA". It matches the Rfam family "Bacterial small subunit ribosomal RNA", at positions 28 to 507 of the family's 1533-position model. The record is from RNAcentral.